UACCUGGUUGAUUCUGCCAGUAGUCAUAUGCUUGUCUCAAAGAUUAAGCCAUGCAUGUCUAAGUAUAAGCACUUAUACCGUGAAACUGCGAAUGGCUCAUUAAAUCAGUUAUAGUUUAUUUGAUAGUACCUUUACCUGGAUAACUGUGGUAAUUCUAGAGCUAAUACAUGCUAAAAACCUCGACUUCGGAAGGGGUGUAUUUAUUAGAUAAAAAACCAAUGCCCUUCGGGGCUCUUUGGUGAUUCAUAAUAACUURACGAAUCGCAUGGCCUUGCGCCGGCGAUGGUUCAUUCAAAUUUCUGCCCUAUCAACUUUCGAUGGUAAGGUAGUGGCUUACCAUGGUCUCAACGGGUAACGGGGAAUUAGGGUUCUAUUCCGGAGAGGGAGCCUGAGAAACGGCUACCACAUCCAAGGAAGGCAGCAGGCGCGCAAAUUACCCAAUCCCAAUACGGGGAGGUAGUGACAAUAAAUACUGAUACGGGGCUCUUUCGGGUCUCGUAAUUGGAAUGAGUACAAUCUAAAUCCCUUAACGAGGAACAAUUGGAGGGCAAGUCUGGUGCCAGCAGCCGCGGUAAUUCCAGCUCCAAUAGCGUAUAUUAAAGUUGUUGCCGUUAAAAAGCUCGUAGUUGAACCUUGGACCUGGCUGAUCUGUCCUCCUAAUCGAGCGCACGGAUUCGGUCGGGUCUUUCCUUCUGGGGAGCCCCAUGCCCUUCACUGGGUGUGGUGGGGAACCAGGACUUUUACCUUGAAAAAAUUAGAGUGUUCAAAGCAGGCCUUUGCUCGAAUACAUUAGCAUGGAAUAAUAGAAUAGGACAUCGGUUCUAUUUUGUUGGUUUCUAGGACCGCUGUAAUGAUUAAUAGGGAUAGUCGGGGGCGUCAGUAUUCAAUUGUCAGAGGUGAAAUUCUUGGAUUUAUUGAAGACUAACUACUGCGAAAGCAUUCGCCAAGGAUGUUUUCAUUAAUCAGUGAACGAAAGUUAGGGGAUCGAAGACGAUCAGAUACCGUCGUAGUCUUAACCAUAAACUAUGCCGACUAAGGAUCGGACGGUGGUUUUUUUAUGCCCCGUUCGGCACUUUACGAGAAAUCAAAGUUUUUGGGCUCGGGGGGGAGUAUGGUCGCAAGGCUGAAACUUAAAGAAAUUGACGGAAGGGCACCACCAGGCGUAAACCGCAUUAGCUCUGCGCCGAAAAGCAGCCUGACAAAGGUGAAGUGGUUGCAUCCUUAAAUGCUAGUCCGCGUCCGCGGGCGACACCCUCAAAUUGCGGGAAGUUCUUAAAGCCCAAACUACCAAGUGGCCGUCGAAAGGCGGUCAUGGCCAGGGUAAUGACCUCGGGUAUGGUAACAACGUUUGGGAUGUCACAAUAGAUAAUCCGCAGCCAAGCACCCUCCCCCACGGCGACGUGGGCGGGUGAAGGUUCAGAGACUAAAUGGGGGUGGGUAAGAGUAACAGCGUUCGAGCAUCAGAAUCUCUUGCUUAAGAUAUAGUCCAAUCCUGAAGGGAAACCUUUGGGGGACGAAACGGGAGCCUGCGGCUUAAUUUGACUCAACACGGGGAAACUCACCAGGUUAACUACAGCAUUUGUCUGGGCCUGGUAGAGUGGGACUCCGGUCCCGCUAGUACACAGUCGUUCUGCGUGAGGAAGUCCUCAUUUUCGGGCGCAGGGUAGCCUUUAUUGGGCUACAGACUGGUGCAACACCAGCUGGUACAGGGGACACCUCCAAAAUAAGGUCGACCCUGUGGUGAGCCGAGAGUCACGUCUCGGCCAUCGCAACGCGCGCAAAGCGGUGGGCAGGGUACAUCCUGCUUAAGGUACGUGCUAAUCCCAUGGGAUGGAAAACCAUGCUCUCGCCAGGAGGCCCGAAUGCCAAAUGGAGAGGGGCGGUCUCGGACCGCGGUGGCUAUAUGCCAGACAUGCUUAGGAUUGACAGAUUGAUAGCUCUUUCUUGAUUGUAUGGGUGGUGGUGCAUGGCCGUUCUUAGUUGGUGGAGUGAUUUGUCUGCUUAAUUGCGAUAACGAACGAGACCUUGACCUGCUAAAUAGCCAGGUUGACUUUUGUCGGCCGCCGGCUUCUUAGAGGGACUUUUGGCUCAAGCCAAUGGAAGUACGAGGCAAUAACAGGUUAACUUUGGUUACGACCAUCACAGGCCUGUUACAGCGAACCUCGCUAAAUAAAUCGCUAGUUAAGUGUCUUUUAUCUCUUCGGUGGGAGCCCACCGACUGUCGGGAGGAGAACUCUUCGGAGUUGACACUAGCAAGACAACCUGGUUCAGGGGACGCUCUCGCGAGUCGAUCCUGAGGCGAGCCAAAGUAGCGUUUGGCCGUCGCAACGCGCGCAAAGGUGUCGGUCGUGCUUUGGCACGGCUUAAGGUACGUGCUAAUCCCCCGAGUGAUCGGGUGCCCCCUGCAAGGUCCGACAGACCGAGCUUGGGGCGUGCCUCAUAGGCAGGUAUUGAAUGCUGUGAUGCCCUUAGAUGUUCUGGGCCGCACGCGCGCUACACUGACAGAGCCAGCGAGUACAUCACCUUGGCCGAAAGGUCUGGGUAAUCUUGUUAAACUCUGUCGUGCUGGGGAUAGAGCAUUGCAAUUAUUGCUCUUCAACGAGGAAUGCCUAGUAAGCGCAAGUCAUCAGCUUGCGUUGAUUACGUCCCUGCCCUUUGUACACACCGCCCGUCGCUACUACCGAUUGAAUGGCUCAGUGAGGCCUUCGGACUGGCUUAGGGAGGUCGGCAACGACCACCCAGAGCCGGAAAGUUCGUCAAACUUGGUCAUUUAGAGGAAGUAAAAGUCGUAACAAGGUUUCCGUAGGUGAACCUGCGGAAGGAUCAUUA
Non-coding RNA from Lasallia pustulata, 2829 nucleotides. NCBI's taxonomy places the organism in Eukaryota, Fungi, Ascomycota, Lecanoromycetes, Umbilicariales, Umbilicariaceae. The record is from Rfam.